This 22-nucleotide ribosomal RNA is filed under the name Metroxylon sagu. Its description in RNAcentral is "partial 26S ribosomal RNA". Lineage: Eukaryota; Viridiplantae; Streptophyta; Magnoliopsida; Arecales; Arecaceae. The record is from RNAcentral.
ACACGACCCCAGGUCAGGUGGG